Molecule: ribosomal RNA, 799 nt
Filed under: Veloporphyrellus pseudovelatus
Lineage: Eukaryota; Fungi; Basidiomycota; Agaricomycetes; Boletales; Boletaceae
Description: eukaryotic LSU rRNA
Rfam family: Eukaryotic large subunit ribosomal RNA
Source: RNAcentral
AAGAGCUCAAAUUUUGAAUCUGGCGGUCUUUUGGUCGUCCGAGUUGUAAUCUAGAGAAGCGUUUUCCGCGCUGGACCGUGUACAAGUCUCCUGGAAGGGAGCGUCAUAGAGGGUGAGAAUCCCGUCUCUGACACGGACUGCCAGUGCUAUGUGAUGCGCUCUCGACGAGUCGAGUUGUUUGGGAAUGCAGCUCAAAACGGGUGGUAAAUUCCAUCUAAAGCUAAAUACAGGCGAGAGACCGAUAGCGAACAAGUACCGUGAGGGAAAGAUGAAAAGAACUUUGGAAAGAGAGUUAAACAGUACGUGAAAUUGCUGAAAGGGAAACGCUUGAUGUCAGUCGCGUUGCCCGGGGAUCAACCUCGCCUUGCGGCUUGGUGUACUUCCCGGUCGACGGGUCAGCAUCAGUUUCAGUCGUCGUACAAUGGCGCGAGGAAUGUGGCACUCUUCAACGAGUGUGUUAUAGCCUUUCGUCGUAUGCGGCGGUCGGGACUGAGGAACUCAGCACGGUUUUACACUUGUGCUUAGGAUGCUGGCAUAAUGGCCUUAAGCGACCCGUCUUGAAACACGGACCAAGGAGUCUAACAUGCCUGCGAGUGUUUGGGUGGUAAACUCGGGCGCGCAAUGAAAGUGAAAGUUGAGACCUCUGUCAUGGAGGGCAUCGACGCCCGGACCAGCGUCUUUGACAACGGAUCUGCGGUAGAGCAUGUAUGUUGGGACCCGAAAGAUGGUGAACUAUGCCUGAAUAGGGUGAAGCCAGAGGAAACUCUGGUGGAGGCUCGUAGCGAUUCAGACGUGCAAA